GAAUCCCUUUCCGUUUUGUUGAGAAUCAUGAGGUUCCAUCUCAAAACCAAUUGGAUAUAUGGGCUAUUUUUGCUAAGAUGAUGGCUAUUUUUUGCUCAUCAAUCUUGAACCGUAUCAGAGUGAACAUGGUCAUUAUCUGUAUGGGUGCAGAUCGGAUAUGAUCACUUGCCCGCAAGGGAUAUGGCUCUGAUACCAUGUUGAGAAUCAUGGGGUUCCAUCUCAAAACCAAUUGGUGAUGAGUGGAGUAGCCCAUGUUCUUAUAUAUGGCUCAAUACUUUCACAUUUCAUCCACGUGGGACAAUAUUCUCCAAUACCUUUCGAUUGUCCUCUUCCUCACGGUGGUGGUUUGAAGCUCUCUAUUCCGACGUAGCUCUCAACGAAAGCUUCUCUCCUUUUGCACCAUUUUUUUUAUCAUCAACGGUAUUAGAAGCCCUAAACCUCAUUCAUCAGAGAAGAGGAAUUCAUAGGCUAUUGGCUUCAUUACCACCUGCGCACAAUUACUUCACUCAAAGUUUCAUAAAGGCUAAAAGUGAGUUAUCUUCCGAAGUCAUAUUUGUUACUUAUAAUACACUUAAAUUUUACUUAAAUAAAAGUCUAAUAAUUUUUUUUUAUUUUUUUAUUUUGAGCCCACACUGGCCUAGCACACCUAUGCCUAUGUGAUCGCUGUUGAGAAUGUUGGGUUAGAAUUGUUUCACAAAUCAGAAAACAUGCUUUACGUUCAGAGAUGCAAAAGGAAUACAGGUGAAGAUUGGGAUAAGAUUUCUCAUAUUCAACACUUGGACUUAUGUCCAAAUCCCAACGAAGAAGAAGAAAAUGAGAAUACAAAGGGAUGCAACCUUUUCAACAAGUUUAGGCUACGCAAUACAAGAGAUCAAUGAUAGAUUAGAUAUAUCAUAUGUGUAGGUAAUUAGUUAUUUUGCAAAUCCCUUCUGCAAUGUGUACAAGUUCAAUGUGCAUGCAAUUACUUCCUUCUGAUAUGAUUUGUAUCAAAAACAAAUUUUUUUUUAAAAAAGAGAGUAAAAGUUGUCAUGGACUGAAGCUAUAUAUCAUUGUUUUCCUGAACAAAUGGAGGAGAAGAAUACAAACUCUGAUAUUUCUAUUGAUUGAAAAGUUUUGAGUGUAGUACCCUAGAAUUAAGGAAUGAAUUAGCAAAACCCUAAUUAGAUAAUUAUGAAUAAUUGAGGAAUUAUAUUAUUAUAUAAUUCAGUAUAUGUGAAUUAAUUUGAUUAAUUAUAUGUUAAGACCCCGUUGGUGAGCCAGGGGCAUUUUAGUAAUUAUGACCCGAGAAGGGUAAAAUGAUGAAAUUAAUUUAAUUACGUGCUUAAUGGAACUAUAUUAUCAUGUAGUAUGACUGUGUUGUCUUUUCAGGGGUGUUCUGACAGGUUGGCGCGGUAUAGUCACAACCGGGUAUUUCGGGCCGAACCGGGUUUGGGCCCGAAAUAUAAAUUGGAUUGAUUUAUUUGGCAUUAUUAUUUAUGGGUGAUAAUCUGAAUUUUUAUUUGAAAAUAAUUGAGUAUGAAUUCACUAGAAUGCCCUUGUAUGUGUGAAUAGGUGAAAAUUGGCCUUAGGGGCAAAAUGGUCUUUUGACCUUAUUUGAUUUACUUUAAUAAAAGCUGAAUUUUGAGGAAAUGAAAUUAGAAAUUCUGGGUCCUCUCUCUCUCCUUAACCCGACCCCCUCUUCCUCUCUCUUUAUCAUCUUCAAUAUUUUACAACUUUGAAAUUAAGGCUUGGAUUGGAGAAAAGUUAAGGAGUUUGGGUGAUUUUGGUGCUUGGAGCUUAGAAAUUUGUGGAUUACCGGCACCUGAUCAGGAGCACCCAGGGGUUUGGAAUCUCUGUUAUUGCGGGACAACAGGUAAGACAGUAGUUUGCACGUAGAGUAUGCGCGGUGGCGCUUAUGUUGAAUAUGAUAUAUGUGAGUAAUUGCAACCAGGAUUAGGGUUAUUACCCUAACAUGAGCGGUUUAAUAGCCUAGGGUUAUUACCCUAGUGAUAUAUGUAGUGUAAUACUAUGCCAUGUCGGA
Molecule: long non-coding RNA, 2020 nt
Organism: Cannabis sativa
Lineage: Eukaryota; Viridiplantae; Streptophyta; Magnoliopsida; Rosales; Cannabaceae
Exons: 5
Source: RefSeq, a predicted model, not a curated record